GCUGGGCGCGGUGGUGCGUGCCUGUAGUCCCAGCUACUCGGGAGGCUGAAGUGGGACGAUCGCUUGAGCCCAGCAGUUCUGGGCUGUAGUGCACUAUGCCAAUCAGGUGUCCACACCAAGUUCGGCAUCAAUAUGGUGACCUCCCAGGAGCAGGGGAACACCAGGUUGCUUCAGGAGGGGUGAACCAACCCAGGCUGGAAAUGGAGCAGGUCAAAAUUCCCAUGCUCAUCUGUAGUGGGAUUGCGCCUGUGAAUAUCCACUGCACUCCAGACUGGGCAACAUGGUGAAACCUUGUCUCUA
Callithrix jacchus (white-tufted-ear marmoset) is the source of this 300-nucleotide unclassified non-coding RNA. It matches the Rfam family "Metazoan signal recognition particle RNA". From Rfam's summary of the family: The signal recognition particle (SRP) is a universally conserved ribonucleoprotein. It is involved in the co-translational targeting of proteins to membranes. Lineage: Eukaryota; Metazoa; Chordata; Mammalia; Primates; Cebidae. The record is from Ensembl.